GUGUGCUCUUCAGGGAUUAGGCAGCUGCCGUAUAGGAUAAUGGAAAAUACUGUAAUUUUAUUAGAAUAACAAACACCGUAAGUGACUAACGCUUCAAUUUAGAAUAGCAGCUCUUCAGAUGUAGAUUUCCAGAUAAAAUAUUUGAUGUUCCAUUGCCUAAGCCUAUCUCAACCAUCCCUGCCUACACUGCCUACAGUAACCAUCCCUUUCAAGGAAUCAGAGUCUGUUGUGGAGUGGAAGGACAAAAGCUAUCAAGGGUGCUUUUCCUCUUGCCAAGUGCAUUCCUGCUGAAUAACUGAGCAGAGAACUACAUGCUCUUUCUCCUGCUCUCCACCAGGUGUUAAUCUAGGCUAUAAAUUUUAUAAAUAUAGAAGAGGAUACUGGGAAAUUCUGUAGGAGUUGGCAGGAAGAUAACUUGAAAACCUGUUCCAGAGAAAAAGUCAUUAUGUUCUAAAUCAGCAGAAGAUGCAUAGGAAAUAGGAGUAAAACAUACAUUACUGAUUUUCACUGGACAACACUCUAGCUGAAGAUAUAAAUUAAAUGGACAGAUUCACCUGGAGCUGUCUGUGAAUUCAGCAACCUUACAAUUUCUGAACCCAAGGUGAACUGGUUAAACAGAAGGAAAAAGAUGAAAGCUUAAUUCUCAAAUUGCACCAUUUGUCAAAGCAGAUGAAGAGUGUUCAUGAAUAUGGAAGACUGGUUGUGCAUCUGUGAAUCCAGCAAAAUCUGGCCUAAUGAUUAUUUAAAUAGUGAGAACACAUUCACAGCCCCACGUUCCAUCUUCCCUUGGGAAAUCUUCGAUCUUUACUUCAGAUGUCACGCCAGAGGCAUCCGAGGCACCAGUCAAGUACAACAGAUCCUGUUGCAAGUUAAGGAGUGCAGACGGACCAGAUUUCCAGAGGUACCUAAGAAUUAGGAUAAACCACUUUUUUCCUAAUCCAGUGAUCCUGGAGACAUCUUUUACCUACAACUAAAUACUAGGGAAUGUGGCCUUAUAUAAAAACAGCUUACAUCCAUCAGCCUUCACCACUUGUUUCCAAGGGACAAUACUCUCCUUACUACAUAUUUUUAUAGCUUGCUCCAAAAUGAUGGCACACACAAACACUACACACAGAGAAAUGUCCAGACUCUAGAAAAGUUGUAACCUACAUAGUGAAUCAGAAGAAAUAAGCUCCAAGGUUUCUAAAAUGUAGUGCACUUAAUGGUACUGCUCCAUUCUCAUCCAAAGAUCAACAGCCAGCACUUCCGCAACCUCAUUUAAAAUCUUCACCUCACUGGAAGGAGUCCCACUAACUUCAAAAACACUCUAGAUGCCAGGGCAAAAAGGUUACCCUUGUCUCUUCAAAGUGAGGGUGCCUACUGUGAUCUUUGGUAUGCAGAGUAUUUCCUUCCAUUUUGGAGAACGUGGUCACCAACUCUGGAACUUCCUUCCAAAUAGUUCUUGAAGUCACUGUGUAUAAGAAGGUAAUUGACUUCACUCUCUAGUGAACAAUUAUGCUCUUAGCUGAUUAGAAUUUAAGAGCGGGCUUAAGAUUAACACUUGACAUUUGCUGAAAGCCCUGAAAUUUAAAAACAAGAAUUACUUGGAAGUUACCCAAUAUUUUAAAUAUCAUGCGUAUGACUCAAAAUAAAACUUCACUUUUGAUAAAAUAUUAAAUAUACAUGUUAGGUAUUGCAUUUAACCUACUAAAAUAUUCAAUAUACAGAUCCAAAAGGUGAAGGAAACAUACUUAACACAUCACCUUCCUCAAAAACACCUCUGGAAAUUGUCCUAUAUGAUUAAUUUGUAUCCAUCAGUGGCAUUUAAACCAGCUAGAUGCUUUAUACACUCAAUAGCAUAAAAAAAGCUGGAAGAUCAGCUAUGUAAAUUAUCUUUCUUGCAUUAGAAAGAGUAAUUCCUGUACUCAGGUGUGAUAUGCCAUGCAUAAAAAUGUGCUAAAGUUACCAUGCUUAGGUCAUCAGCAUCCAUUUAGAUCUAAAAAGCAGGCAAUGCAUUUUCUACUCAAAGAUUUCUCACUGCAUGCUUUUACUUUUUCUUCGUACAUCACUACCUUAUUCCUGGCUUUGGUUUCAGAGGUAUUGCCUAGUCUAACAACAUAAAGCAUAAAAAUACUGUCAUGAGAUAGCUGCAAUCCCCUGGGACUAAACACUUGACCAAGGUUUCAUUUGACUAUAUUUCCUUGUUUGUCUCUGUACAACUGUGCCAGCAAUGUGGAUAGCAAUGAUUAUAUACAGAACUGCUACCCACAGAUGAACACUCUAGGAAAGAGCAAUACAUUAAAAUUUGAUAUUUAUAGUACUUCUGAAUUCUGAGCAUCUAUUUUGAUUUUUAGAUCUACUGACGGAUUUGUAACUGAAAUGCGUUUUUAAUACGAAGUAAUACAUUAAACAUUUUGCAACCUGUCAAUGCUGAGACAGCAGAGAGGCUGUUCAACCUAACUAGCAAAUGAUUCCCAGAGCUGUACUGUCAGUAUUAAUGAUGUCAGACCACAAACAUGAAAGAAAGGAAUGAUUACUUUACACAACCAUGACUCCUUUUGAUGGAGUAGGAAGCGAAGGUUGCACAGCAAGGUAUGGCUCAUUUCAGCUACAGAUAGGAUAUACAUAGACCCCCAUGCCCCCAAGGAAGGUGAAGAAUGACAGAAGGACCAGCACUUCUCAGUUCCUUGAAAUUCAAAGAUGGAACAAGUAGUCAAAGACUAAAACUAAGAGAGAGUCGGGAUGGUCACAGCACCAAGCCUGCCGGAAUUCAAGAAGGAUUUGGAUGAUAGCCUCAGGCACACAGUGUGACUCUUGGGGAUGGUCCUUUGCAGGACUGGGGUUUGGACUCUGUGAUCCUUGUGAGUUACUUCCAACUCAGCAUAUUCUGUGAUUCUGUAAGUGUGAGAAAAAGGUCGACCAUGGAGAUCUCAAAGACACACAUUUACUAUGGGAUACAUGAAACUUUCCUUCUUAGAUAACUAAUUUAAACUACUUUUUUAGAAAAAUAGCAGCCAACUGGUGGUGUCUUUUCAGGAUGGUGGAAGCCAGGAUUUCAGACUCUAGCAGCCAGAAAGAAUAGCCCUCAGAUUGGUGUUUGACUCAGUAGCUAAAGCCUAAGGUGCAGGAAGUUUUAACCAGCUCUGGGGGUCACAUGUUGCUCUGUGUUUUGUCUGAUGUUGGCAUAGCCCUGAAGGAUAUAGAAGAGGUAGCUUGUCUUCUAACUGAGAGCAAGAGAAACAUUAGUAAACUAGAAGAAGUUAACAAACCAAAAAGAAACUGUGAGUUAAGAUACAGUCUCUACUUCAGUACUCUUUGUGCAGAAAUGGCCUAAUGUUAAAAUCAUCAAGUUAUGCCUCUGAAUAAUAAAGAAAUGUAUUGACAAGGAGUAUACAAAGUGUAUAAAAAAUAAAACCAUAUAAUAUAAGUCUGAGAUACAGCUGAUGUGCCCAGUAGCUGUUCUCAGCAGGGAGCUUCCCCAAACCUCUACUGAAGACUUGUAACAUGAAGAUGUGGAGCCUGCUGUGGCAGUAAGCAGUAAUGAGGUCCUUCUGCUGAUGUACAGACACUGUCCAGUCAAUUGACACUGCUGAGUGUCUGUUCUCUGAGCUCUGUUCUCUCUUCCUGGGUUAUGGAAUAUGAAACUUGUCAUAAAUACAAAGAGAAUGAAGAAGUAACUUUAAAUAAUCUAACCAAACUCAGUUUGAAAUUCAGUAACAGAAAAGUAUUAGGUAAAGGUUCUGCCUUGCUAACACAUUGAAAACAAGGGAAGUAACAACCAUUUUGGGCUUUAUACUUUCUCACAGGACAAUGAAACAUCACAAGAAAAGUUUGUAAUCCGAGACAUUACUAUUACAAAGCAAUCUGGUCACAAGCAUCUGGAGGGCACUCAGUCACACAGGUAUAUCCUCAGUGACAUGUCCUGGAAAGAUGGCAAAACAUUGUCACAUUGUUGGAAUUUCCGGGUAACUCACACUGAUAAUUACACAAUGUCUUCUAAACAAGUACAAAUAAAACUGCAGGAAAUUAAAAACUGCUUUAAAAGAAAGACUGUCAAAUGAGAGAGGGUUUCCUUGAUAGCUCCACAGUAAAUGUCUCAAAUAACCAUGAUUCAACAAACUCCUGCAUCAGAAACUUCCAGCUUCUUGCUUUGAAAUCUCAACAGAACAGUGUUUAGCUUGCAGAGCCAAUGAAAGGCAGAAAAACCUCUUGAUAUCCUGCCCAAUUUGCUAGUCAAUAUAAAGCAUGAAAAAAAUGCUUGUGUUUUCCUAAGUGCUUAAUACCAAACAAGUAUCCCUUUUACUGUCAGAAACAGGGUCUUUUCUUCCGUUUUUUAAAGAACAGUGCAUUUAUUCAGGCACUCAAACAGAGACUCACAAGUGUUAGUUUAGACACACACCAAAACAAAACAAACAACAAAUUAAAAAAAAACAAACACUCAAUCAAAAAGAUCUCUUCUUUAGGAGUUUCAACACUACCAGAUACAUUCCUGGUGCAGGGCUAUACUGCUCCAGACUCAUCCUAGCAGAAAUACCAGAAGACAAUGAAGACUGAAGUGACUGUAGGCCCCACCACAUUCUGCAGUGAUGCUCUGGGAGGGAAGAAGGCUCAG
Long non-coding RNA from Myiozetetes cayanensis, 4591 nucleotides. RefSeq lists it as uncharacterized. The transcript is spliced from 3 exons. Lineage: Eukaryota; Metazoa; Chordata; Aves; Passeriformes; Tyrannidae. The record is from RefSeq and is a predicted model, not a curated record.